UAAUACGGGGGGGGCAAGCGUUGUUCGGAAUUACUGGGCGUAAAGGGCGCGUAGGCGGCUUCGGAAGUCAUGGGUGAAAGCCCCCGGCUCAACCGGGGAAGGGCCUGUGAAACCACGGGGCUGGAGUGCUGGAGAGGGGAGCGGAAUUCCCAGUGUAGCGGUGAAAUGCGUAGAUAUUGGGAGGAACAUCGGUGGCGAAGGCGGCUUCCUGGACAGACACUGACGCUGAGGCGCGAAAGCCGGGGGAGCGAACGGG
RNAcentral lists this ribosomal RNA (256 nucleotides) under uncultured bacterium. RNAcentral describes it as "partial 16S ribosomal RNA". It matches the Rfam family "Bacterial small subunit ribosomal RNA", at positions 521 to 776 of the family's 1533-position model. The record is from RNAcentral.